AACGAACGCUGGCGGCAUGCCUAACACAUGCAAGUCGAACUAGACCUUCGGGUCUAGUGGCGCACGGGUGCGUAACGCGUUGGAACCUGCCCUUAGGUUCUGAAUAACUCCCCGAAAGGGGUGCUAAUACCUGAUAAUGUCUUCGGACCAAAGAUUUAUCGCCUUUGGAUGGGCCCGCGUUGGAUUAGCUAGUUGGUAGGGUAAAAGCCUACCAAGGCGACGAUCCAUAGCUGGUCUGAGAGGAUGAUCAGCCACACUGGGACUGAGACACGGCCCAGACUCCUAAGGGAGGAAGCAGUGGGGAAGAUUGGACAAUGGGCGAAAGCCUGAUCCAGCAAUGCCGCGUGAGUGAUGAAGGCCUUAGGGUUGUAAAGCUCUUUUAACCGGGAUGAUAAUGACAGUACCGGGAGAAUAAGCUCCGGCUAACUCCGUG
RNAcentral lists this ribosomal RNA (433 nucleotides) under uncultured bacterium. Its description in RNAcentral is "partial 16S ribosomal RNA". It matches the Rfam family "Bacterial small subunit ribosomal RNA", at positions 29 to 507 of the family's 1533-position model. The record is from RNAcentral.